GCGUCAGCUGAAGCAUGUUUACACAUGCAGUCRCACGAACCUUUCGGGGUUAGUGGCGGACGGGUGAGUAACGCGUAGGAAUCUGUCCACGGGUGGGGGAUAACUCUGGGAAACUGGAGCUAAUACCGCAUGAUACCUGAGGGUCAAAGGCGCAAGUCGCCUGUGGAGGAGCCUGCGUUCGAUUAGCUAGUUGGUGGGGUAAAGGCCUACCAAGGCGAUGAUCGAUAGCUGGUUUGAGAGGAUGAUCAGCCACACUGGGACUGAGACACGGCCCAGACUCCUACGGGAGGCAGCAGUGGGGAAUAUUGGACAAUGGGGGCAACCCUGAUCCAGCAAUGCCGCGUGUGUGAAGAAGGUCUUCGGAUUGUAAAGCACUUUCGACGGGGACGAUGAUGACGGUACCCGUAGAAGAAGCCCCGGCUAACUUCGUGCCAGCAGCCGCGGUAAUACGAAGGGGGCUAGCGUUGCUCGGAAUGACUGGGCGUAAAGGGCGUGUAGGCGGUUUACACAGUCAGAUGUGAAAUCCCCGGGCUUAACCUGGGAGCUGCAUUUGAUACGUGUAGACUAGAGUGUGAGAGAGGGUUGUGGAAUUCCCAGUGUAGAGGUGAAAUUCGUAGAUAUUGGGAAGAACACCGGUGGCGAAGGCGGCAACCUGGCUCAUUACUGACGCUGAGGCGCGAAAGCGUGGGGAGCAAACAGGAUUAGAUACCCUGGUAGUCCACGCUGUAAACGAUGUGUGCUAGAUGUUGGGUAACUUUGUUAUUCAGUGUCGCAGUUAACGCGUUAAGC
This 789-nucleotide ribosomal RNA is filed under the name Acetobacter fabarum. RNAcentral describes it as "bacterial SSU rRNA". Lineage: Bacteria; Pseudomonadati; Pseudomonadota; Alphaproteobacteria; Acetobacterales; Acetobacteraceae. The record is from RNAcentral.